UGACAGGGCUUUCUGGUGGACUUGGGGAUGGACUACAAGGUCAAGUCUGAACAGCAGUAGUGUCCUGAAACAUGUUGGACACCAAUGUCCCCAAAGAAAAGCACAGAGUAGUGGCCACCAUGGACGCCUGUGGUGUAGACCCCACUAGCUGUGGCUGACUUCCAGUUGUGCCUCGGGGAGUUGAUGCUGCUCAGACAACAUUUGCUGACCUGGCUCUGCUCCCAUCAGUGUGUGCUCCAGGACAGACCUACUGGCUGCUGUCAAGGACUCUGGGUCAACUCCAGGCCUCCGUGACCUACUUCCUACGCAUAACAUCAUCCUCCAGCCUCUGUGUCAAGAAGGCAGUCCCCAUGUCCCCCAGCUAAGGACAGGGUCAGAUCCCUCACCCUGUGCUUUCUUCACCUUAGGGGUUCUGAGCUUGCCGAGACCCAAACUUUGCUUGCCAAUGUCAGGGUGCACAGUCCUGGGCAUAGGGACAUCUAGACUCAUGGGGAGUCUAGAGUCCCCCACUUCCUGGGAAGAGAAGCUGGGGUCUAAGCAGGGAUCAAGUUUCAGCCCUGUGUGUUUCCCCUGAGUGACAGCCACAUGCUCUACACAAGGGUCUACAGCUCUCACCAUGCCAGUACAGACAAAGGAGUUCAACACUGGUGCUGAACCUGAGGAGAGAGACUCAAGCCGUAUUCCUAGGGAGGCUACUGCCCAAAUAAGCAUGGGAAGAUACCCAAGAUGGCUAGGCUGGCCAUGUUGGGAACAGCCUUUCUGAGCUGCCCCAGAGGAGGCAGCAACUGGGCUAAGACCAGAAAGAUAAGAGUGGAGGAGAGAGAAGGCUGGCAAGAGGACAGCAUGUAGGUGCAAAGGCCCUGUGGUUGGCAGUUUGAGAAAAUGAUAGGUAAAGCCAGAGGGAGAGAGGUCUGAGGGUUGUUGUGAUUCACAAGGGAGCCAGUAGCCACUAGAGGAGCUUGCUGUUUCUUCCAGGGAGGUGACGCAUGGCCAAUGAACAUUUGGAAGACUAGAGAGGAGGAGGGUGUGGGUCGCGAGCUUUGGCAGUUGUCCCAGGAAAGCCUCAAAGUCACAGCUACUUCCUGUCCCCAGGAGGAAGUGGAAGGAGCUUUCCUAGGGAGGGCUGGCUUCCAGGUAGUUCUGGGUACAUAUGCCUAUACGUGGGUAUGUGCUUGUGUGCCUGUCUGUCAGUGCAUGGGUGCACGUUGCACACAGGUGGAUGUGUACACAGAGGGUUUGCGGGUCGGCAGCGGUGUCUCAGUGUGUGCAGUGGGGACCGAGAUCAUGGAGACUCUUGUCUCCCCCCAGCCAGUGUGGUCUAGCUCCUUUUCUCCUAGGGUGAUAAGUGUGGUGCCAGCUGGGGAGACAUAGACAGGAAGUGCAGCCAUUUCUGCAGGCAGCUGCAGACCAAGGCACAGCAGGCAUCGUGUGUCCCUUGGCCCACUCUGGAGUGCAUGCCUCCUCUGGGACAUUGUGGGAAGAAAGGCCCAAGAAGCUGGGGCAUCAGGUCUAUGAGGCAAAGUGUGUGCAUCUGCAUCUGGGGGGAGAAUACCUGCCCCCUGGAGGACUUCAGGCAGACCCUCACUUGGUUUUUAACCUCUCCCUGCUGUUCACCACCUCCGUUAAACAGUGCCUCUCCUUGGUGCUGGCAUAAAUGGACCUGAACAUUC
This is a long non-coding RNA of Grammomys surdaster, 1670 nucleotides long. RefSeq lists it as uncharacterized. The record is from RefSeq and is a predicted model, not a curated record. The transcript has 2 exons. NCBI's taxonomy places the organism in Eukaryota, Metazoa, Chordata, Mammalia, Rodentia, Muridae.